AAGAGUAGCAUGAGCACACCACAGCGGUGCCCAGUAAGUAGCAGGACUAACCUCGAUGGAGUAGUGACGAGGGACAGUCAAGACACCUACCAGUCAAUAAUCAGUAUAAUCAUAUGGAUAAUAUAAACGAUAUAUAUACUAUGUAAAGACAGCAUGAAUGACUAAAAGGGCUACAAUCAGAAUAAAACUAAUGGAUAACAAGUAAAAACGAUAGAUACACAACGAUGAUAAUAAAAGGAUGAUAGACAUUCCAAUCCAAAUCCUGAAGUUGCAACACAACAAGGAUAGACAAGUCACAAACUCAUUAUUUUGCAAUGAUCUUGCAUAAGUUCUUCCCAACUCUAUCCAUAGUUCUACCACAAACUCUCAGACCAGCCACGACUCAUGAAAACCCAGCAUCUUGUGCCCCGCCAAUAACACUGUCAUGCUGACAACUGACUAGUCAACUAGGGUCACUCUCACAUAUAUAAUGGGUGAACGAGGGUAUAUCCUCACCCCUAGCCAAAACAGGAGGGAUUCAUCUCUAAUAGGAGGGUCCAACUACGUGUGUUCUUGUACAAGUGUAUCUAACAGGAAUCCUACCAUCUGGUAUGUAUAAGAAAAAAAGGAUCGACUAGCACCCGACUUAUUCACACCCGGAUAGAAUCAAUGAAAAUACCAGUUCAGAACACAAUGAGAUUAAUGGGGAUCUCCCGGGAAUCGAACCCAUAGUCCAUCAUACCAAUACAGCACCCGACUUAUUCACACCCGGAUAGAAUCAAUGAAAAUACCAGUUCAGAACACAAUGAGUUUAAUGGGGGUCUCCCGGAAAUCGAACCUGUAGUCCAUCAUACCAAUACAGAGGAUCUCCCGGGAAUUGAACCUGUAGUCCAUCAUAUCAAUAAUAGAGGAUCUCCCGGGAAUUGAACCCUUAGUCCAUUAUACCAAUAACAGAUGAUCUCUCAGUAAUUGAACCCGUAGUCCAUCAUACCAAUAAUAAACAAAAAUAGGAAAAAAUGCCACCACGGGCCUUCACAAUUCAUCACAAUCAGCCCCUGACAUAGCCACCUUAUUUCGCCACGUGUGCUACAUAUAACAAUGUAGCAAGCACCGCCUUAUUUCGCCACACGUGCAUCACAAUAUUCCCACCUUAUUCUGCCACAUGCGCAAUCCACAUAUAUGCAGAUAACAUAUCCCGCCUUUUUACGCUGCAUGUGCAAAAGCAUCAAUAGUCACAAUAACAUGGCAAAGACCUUGUGCAACUCUCCAACAACAACCGCACGACAGAGACCUCGUGCAUCAAAGUACCAACAGUCGCACAAUAAAUGACAGUAUAUAUAUACAGGAGCAAAGCCAGGGAAUAAACAAUGGAGACGAUAAUGUCCCGGCAAGGGAAUCAACAACAGAACCAAUAACGUCCCGGCAAGGGAAUCAAUAAUAGAAACAGUAAUGUCCCGGCAAGGUAAUCAACAACGGAAAUAAUAACGUCCAGGCAAGGGAAUCAACAACGGAAAAAAUAAUGACCCGACAAGGGAAAUCAACAUUAUCUACUAAAGCCACGGAACACCAAGAAAAACACAAUAACCUCAACGACAACAAGACAUAAUAAGUGCAUAAUAACUACACUGAUACCACAACAGUUGGACAUGUAACAUAAUUGCACGAAGUUACAAAUGAGCUCACAAUCAAGGAGUAACCAACAGAGAGAAGUCAACAUGAAUCAAAUAAUGACAAUUUAAGGAAAUAACAACUAAUCAUAAGAUAUCUAUCUUCUUUCCAUUUAAGUCCAAUUAAUCACAUGAGAUAUAAUAUUUAUGAUUUCCACUUAAAUGCGAGUAGUUAGGGCGGGUAAUAUAACAAUGGAAGGGUAUCUUUAGUUAAGCACGUAAAGGUCCAUUAAACAGAAAGAAUAAAUCAAGAAGGGCAGACAAAUACCAAGUAACACAUGUAGUUGUGAAACUAAUAACAGGAAACUCAAUCGUAUCCAUAUCAUCUUCAUGCUUGGUGAUUUCAAGAGUCUAGUAGCCUAAAAGGGAUAAUUUACUGCAAAUAAAUCCGAGCACACACUCGUCAC
Molecule: long non-coding RNA, 2053 nt
Filed under: Nicotiana benthamiana
Lineage: Eukaryota; Viridiplantae; Streptophyta; Magnoliopsida; Solanales; Solanaceae
Description: long non-coding RNA (NBEN_LNC014729)
Source: RNAcentral